GAGGGCAAGAGUGUUCCUGGGCUGAUGCCCAGAUUAAACAUGGGAGAUCCUUGGAGUGUUUUCAUCUCCUCCAUUAGAUAGAUCUGAUAAGUGCGGAGAAUCCCUAACUUGCUCUUGUCAGUUAAAGCUAAAAGAUGUUGUCAUUUAAAGGGUCAGGCAUACCCUGUCUCACUGCAGUGUUUCAAGAGAAGGGGACCACAAAGGAGAGGGGAGGCCACCCUGAUGCAAAACAACAUGAGUGAAUCAAAAAGAAACAAAGACAUAAGUCAUAGGACAUUUGCACAACUGAUUAUCAUGAGGAUAGUGGCUUUCAACAAGAGGGUUUUAUUUACUACUAAUAAGGAUUAAAUAUAUCCAUAAUAAAAAGAAAGAC
Long non-coding RNA from Mustela lutreola (European mink), 373 nucleotides. RefSeq lists it as uncharacterized. The record is from RefSeq and is a predicted model, not a curated record. Lineage: Eukaryota; Metazoa; Chordata; Mammalia; Carnivora; Mustelidae. The transcript is spliced from 3 exons.